CAGUCGCCGCGGGAAUACGUAGGGUGCAAGCGUUAAUCGGAAUUACUGGGCGUAAAGCGUGCGCAGGCGGUUAUAUAAGACAGAUGUGAAAUCCCCGGGCUCAACCUGGGAACUGCAUUUGUGACUGUAUAGCUAGAGUACGGCAGAGGGGGAUGGAAUUCCGCGUGUAGCAGUGAAAUGCGUAGAUAUGCGGAGGAACACCGAUGGCGAAGGCAAUCCCCUGGGCCUGUACUGACGCUCAUGCACGAAAGCGUGGGGAGCAAACAGGAUUAGAUACCCCAGUAGUCCCUGUCUCUUAUAA
Molecule: ribosomal RNA, 301 nt
Filed under: uncultured bacterium
Lineage: Bacteria
Description: partial 16S ribosomal RNA
Rfam family: Bacterial small subunit ribosomal RNA
Source: RNAcentral